RNAcentral lists this ribosomal RNA (615 nucleotides) under Staphylococcus aureus. Its description in RNAcentral is "partial 23S ribosomal RNA". It matches the Rfam family "Bacterial large subunit ribosomal RNA", at positions 1603 to 2219 of the family's 2925-position model. The record is from RNAcentral. Lineage: Bacteria; Bacillati; Bacillota; Bacilli; Caryophanales; Staphylococcaceae.
CACUGCCGAGAAAAGCCUCUAGAUAGAAAAUAGGUGCCCGUACCGCAAACCGACACAGGUAGUCAAGAUGAGAAUUCUAAGGUGAGCGAGCGAACUCUCGUUAAGGAACUCGGCAAAAUGACCCCGUAACUUCGGGAGAAGGGGUGCUCUUUAGGGUUAACGCCCAGAAGAGCCGCAGUGAAUAGGCCCAAGCGACUGUUUAUCAAAAACACAGGUCUCUGCUAAACCGUAAGGUGAUGUAUAGGGGCUGACGCCUGCCCGGUGCUGGAAGGUUAAGAGGAGUGGUUAGCUUCUGCGAAGCUACGAAUCGAAGCCCCAGUAAACGGCGGCCGUAACUAUAACGGUCCUAAGGUAGCGAAAUUCCUUGUCGGGUAAGUUCCGACCCGCACGAAAGGCGUAACGAUUUGGGCACUGUCUCAACGAGAGACUCGGUGAAAUCAUAGUACCUGUGAAGAUGCAGGUUACCCGCGACAGGACGGAAAGACCCCGUGGAGCUUUACUGUAGCCUGAUAUUGAAAUUCGGCACAGCUUGUACAGGAUAGGUAGGAGCCUUUGAAACGUGAGCGCUAGCUUACGUGGAGGCGCUGGUGGGAUACUACCCUAGCUGUGUUGGCU